AUAAACUUUGUUAAACAAUUUAUGAACAAAAUAUAAACCCCUCACUAUAGAAAACUCGCGCUCUAAUGAGUUGCACCUAGUCCGAUAAAAUUCCUUCAAAAGAAAGAUUCAAGCACUGAACAGAGCGAUUAGGGUUAAAGACAAUAAGGAGUAAAAUAAAAAAGAAAUUGAGAAAAGAGUAAACGUAGUGAUUGAGGUUUCACUAGGAUAUAAAUACAUAGAGACCCUUCAUCUAUAAGUCCUAUUAGAAUUGAUCCCUCAACUUUAAAUCUUUUUUAUUUACUAUCGGGUAUUUCACCAGAUCUAGAUCUAGAUUCGAGUAUGAUUCCAGAUUCCUAUUUGAAAUCUCUUUUGGACCCUACCCAUUGAAAGGUCGGGUUCGGAUCGGGUCCAAGUCAGUUAUGGAUAUAAAGUAUCUGGACCCACACUCAAAACUUCAAUGGUUAGUUUUUUUUACUCGUAUAUAUCCAUUUUUCACUGUAUCCGAUUCAGAUCCGGGAUAGGGUCCGGACAGGGUCCGAAUCGGGUAUGGAAUAUUAGGUAUUUUGGACAGCUUUAAGUACAGCCUUUUUCGGAUUGUAAUC
Molecule: long non-coding RNA, 584 nt
Filed under: Ananas comosus (pineapple)
Lineage: Eukaryota; Viridiplantae; Streptophyta; Magnoliopsida; Poales; Bromeliaceae
Description: long non-coding RNA (ACOM_LNC017552)
Source: RNAcentral